GUGGGGAAUAUUGGACAAUGGGCGCAAGCCUGAUCCAGCAAUGCCGCGUGGGUGAAGAAGGCCUUCGGGUUGUAAAGCCCUUUUGUACGGAAAGAAAUCCUGGUGGUUAAUACCCGCCGGGGAUGACGGUACCGUAAGAAUAAGCACCGGCUAACUUCGUGCCAGCAGCCGCGGUAAUACGAAGGGUGCAAGCGUUAAUCGGAAUUACUGGGCGUAAAGCGUGCGUAGGUGGUUUCUUAAGUCUGUCGUGAAAGCCCUGGGCUCAACCUGGGAAUGGCGAUGGAUACUGGGAGGCUAGAGUGCGGUAGAGGAUGGCGGAAUUCCCGGUGUAGCGGUGAAAUGCGUAGAGAUCGGGAGGAACAUCUGUGGCGAAGGCGGCCAUCUGGACCAGCACUGACACUGAGGCACGAAAGCGUGGGGAGCAAACAGGAUUAGAUACCCUUGUAGUCC
Molecule: ribosomal RNA, 450 nt
Filed under: uncultured bacterium
Lineage: Bacteria
Description: bacterial SSU rRNA
Rfam family: Bacterial small subunit ribosomal RNA
Source: RNAcentral